RNAcentral lists this transfer RNA (65 nucleotides) under Stenonema femoratum. Its description in RNAcentral is "tRNA-Leu". RNAcentral also lists the same sequence under 1 other name. The record is from RNAcentral. Lineage: Eukaryota; Metazoa; Arthropoda; Insecta; Ephemeroptera; Heptageniidae.
UCUAAUGUGGCAGAUAAGUGCAAUGGAUUUAAGCUCCAUACAUAGAGAAUGUCCUCUCAUUAGAA